This 534-nucleotide ribosomal RNA is filed under the name uncultured bacterium. Its description in RNAcentral is "bacterial SSU rRNA". It matches the Rfam family "Bacterial small subunit ribosomal RNA", at positions 94 to 630 of the family's 1533-position model. The record is from RNAcentral.
ACCGGCGAACGGGUGCGUAACACGUGAGCAACCUACCGAUUUGUGGGGGAUAGCCGGCCCAACGGCCGGGUAAUACCGCAUACGCUUGGUCUGGGACAUCCCGGGCCAAGGAAACCUCCGGGGCAAAUCGAGGGGCUCGCGGCCUAUCAGCUAGUUGGCGAGGUCACGGCUCACCAAGGCGACGACGGGUAGCUGGUCUGAGAGGAUGGCCAGCCACAUUGGGACUGAGAAACGGCCCAGACUCCUACGGGAGGCAGCAGUGGGGAAUCUUGCGCAAUGGACGAAAGCCUGACGCAGCGACGCCGCGUGGGGGAUGACGGGUUUCGGCUUGUAAACCCCUGUUGCCCGGGACGAACGCCCACUUUGAAGUGGGGUGACGGUACCGGGUGAGGAAGCACCGGCUAACUCCGUGCCAGCAGCCGCGGUAAUACGGAGUGUGCGAGCGUUGUCCGGAAUCACUGGCGUAAAGGGCGCGUAGGUGGCGGAGCAAGUCAACGGUGAAAGCUCGACGCUCAACGUCGAGUCGGCCGUCGA